GAGGCCAGGAGGAAGUAGUGCAGCGCGGCGGCUGCAGUGACACAGAGGGCACGCAGACCCCAAGAGGACAACCAGGAGUUGACCAGGAACACCAGGUUCAAGCCCAGCAGCGCCAGGCAGAGGUUGAUAAGGAUCUGAGAUGGGUAGUCUCGACGAAGCUUCCUGAGGCAGAAACACAGGCGGACCAUGAAAGGUCAGCUGAUCCUACUGUUGUGGGUAUAAGAUGAUGGAGCGUGACUCGGACUUCUUCAUCCAGGUCUUUGAUGGGGGAGCUGGUGUUGGUCACGCUGGCCGACACCACAAAGGAGUUGAGGGUCCGAUCCUUUUCGCUGCUCUGAAAGUAACAGGAGGCUUGAAGGCGUUGACCCUAUGCGAUCCGACAACACCCCGAAGGUCAAAGUGCCGAACUGGUCAGGAUCUACGUCCACCACUGAGAUGGCGAUGGCUGGAGCGGCCAGUGUGUAGAAGCCCGCGUAGCCCACCAUCUUGUCUCCCACCGCCUCUGUGAUGUUCAGGAUCCUGCAGAGGACGACAGGGACGAGAUGGUAGAGGACAUUCUGUAUCGUUCUCACCACACUGCAGGCUGGAGUCGGACAGCGUUGGUCCCAUCAGAGUGUCCCAGUUGUCCCUCUCCCACUUCAACACGUCCCCGUCUGUACAGUUCACAGACGUCACCUCCUGUUGGCUGCGCUCUCGCUGCCACAGUCGAAACAGAGACACUUUUCCCACCAUGCCGGUGAACGGAAGGAUCUGGAUUAUCCCAUUGUUCAGGAGGUGCGACACACCCAGAGUGAGGGUCCCAUUGGGAGCCAGUUCGUGGCAGGAGGGAGGAGGUGAGGGACAGGUGUCGCUGGAGUGAGCUGAGGGAGAGGAGAAGAGAGAACGGGAGUAUGAUGCACUCAACUUAGCACAGAACCUGAAACAAAAUGUUGAAACGAGAUGAGAUGUUACAACACCAAAUAAAACCCACCUGCCGUCAUGUCCAGCAUUUGGCCAUCGAUGUAAAGAGCAGGCUUGUCUUUGGUGUGAGACCAGGCGAGACACAGCGAAUACCACUGAGACACACUGAGUUUUAUCUGAGGACUCUUCCACUCUCUCCCAAACAGCCAGACCACCAAACGGUCCGGCCGACCCCCCAAGCCCAGCUCAGCAUACUGAACGUCGGGGUGACGGUACAUGAAGGCGGUCCAUGUUGAAGUGACCUGGACCUACAUAUAUUUCAUUACACACACAACAUGAUUCAUGAAUUGAUUUUAUAUAUUCUUUGUAUAUAUAAGUCUAUAUACACAUAUUUAUACAUAUUAUUAUUAUUAUAUUUAUUUAUUAUUAUAUAUACUGUU
Limanda limanda (common dab) is the source of this 1340-nucleotide long non-coding RNA. RefSeq lists it as uncharacterized. The transcript is spliced from 4 exons. The record is from RefSeq and is a predicted model, not a curated record. NCBI's taxonomy places the organism in Eukaryota, Metazoa, Chordata, Actinopteri, Pleuronectiformes, Pleuronectidae.